UUUGCAAGGGGGAUGGGAACGACUUCAAUAUGAGUGCCGAUAGAGGAGACAGCAAUUUAAUUAAUUGUACUAACAACGUACUGAUAGAAACAUUGGUUCUCUUACAAUCAUAUUCGAUGAGGAAUCAGAGUUUAUCCUGAAUAAUUCUCAUCAUUUUGUGCUGAUUCAUUUCCUUUUCAGCACUAACUAUAAUUAAAUAAAGAUGUUACUUCUUUUUUAAUCUGAUUAGUAGAAGGUACCGAAAAUAAUUUGCAUAUCAUAGUAUUGUGAAUAGAAUUUCAUAUGUUUUCUUAUGUACCUGGGUUUCGCGAUUGCAAGCCAUCUUGCUGAAUCAUGAUCUAAUAAAAUGACUGAAAUAGCCAUUUACAUAUAAAGUAACAUAACGUAAAAUAAUUUGCGAAAUAAUCCAACGCCGCUCAGAGUAAACCUAAGAAUAGGCUAUUGCAUGGUUCUCUAAAAAU
Long non-coding RNA from Hyalella azteca, 461 nucleotides. RefSeq lists it as uncharacterized. The record is from RefSeq and is a predicted model, not a curated record. NCBI's taxonomy places the organism in Eukaryota, Metazoa, Arthropoda, Malacostraca, Amphipoda, Hyalellidae. The transcript has 3 exons.